Molecule: small RNA, 176 nt
Filed under: Gopherus agassizii (Agassiz's desert tortoise)
Lineage: Eukaryota; Metazoa; Chordata; Testudines; Testudinidae
Description: TUC338 (ENSGAGG00000009469.1)
Source: RNAcentral
CUGACAGGCCUAGAGUACUGCCUUUUUCCACAGAAUAAGCACAGCACAGGUAGCAGCAGCACAAUCUUCCCCGCGCAGCUCUGUACCAACAUGCCUCCACCCUGAGAUGGAGGGACCAUCUCCUCCCCAGAUGACCCAGCAGCUUCCAACUGCGACUGCUUCCAGCGGUGGUUGUG